Molecule: small nucleolar RNA, 107 nt
Organism: Lathyrus oleraceus (garden pea)
Lineage: Eukaryota; Viridiplantae; Streptophyta; Magnoliopsida; Fabales; Fabaceae
Source: RefSeq, a predicted model, not a curated record
AUAUUGUGAUUAUGACACCUUCAUAGUAAUAACUUAAACCUCUCCCAUGCGUCAUACAAGGAUUAUGUUUCUUAUUGCUUAAAUUUAGAAAUAUCAUUCCUUCGUUC